CGUAACAAGGUCUCCGUAGGUGAACCUGCGGAGGGAUCAUUACACAAAUAUGAAGGCGGGCUGGAACCUCUCGGGGUUACAGCCUUGCUGAAUUAUUCACCCUUGUCUUUUGCGUACUUCUUGUUUCCUUGGUGGGUUCGCCCACCACUAGGACAAACAUAAACCUUUUGUAAUUGCAAUCAGCGUCAGUAACAAAUUAAUAAUUACAACUUUCAACAACGGAUCUCUUGGUUCUGGCAUCGAUGAUGAACGCAGCGAAAUGCGAUAAGUAGUGUGAAUUGCAGAAUUCAGUGAAUCAUCGAAUCUUUGAACGCACAUUGCGCCCUUUGGUAUUCCAAAGGGCAUGCCUGUUCGAGCGUCAUUUGUACCCUCAAGCUUUGCUUGGUGUUGGGCGUCUUGUCUCUAGCUUUGCUGGAGACUCGCCUUAAAGUAAUUGGCAGCCGGCCUACUGGUUUCGGAGCGCAGCACAAGUCGCACUCUCUAUCAGCAAAGGUCUAGCAUCCAUUAAGCCUUUUUUCAACUUUUGACCUCGGAUCANGNAGGGAUACCCGCUGAACUUAAGCAUAUCA
This 569-nucleotide ribosomal RNA is filed under the name uncultured fungus. RNAcentral's name for it is "eukaryotic LSU rRNA". The stretch from base 208 to 361 matches the Rfam family "5.8S ribosomal RNA". Lineage: Eukaryota; Fungi. The record is from RNAcentral.